Molecule: long non-coding RNA, 1010 nt
Filed under: Homo sapiens (human)
Lineage: Eukaryota; Metazoa; Chordata; Mammalia; Primates; Hominidae
Description: HSALNT0082704
Source: RNAcentral
GAAGCUCCUUUCAGAUAGAGACAAGGGAUAUUUGACUUCUUAUCUCUGUUGUCCAGCACAAUGUCCAGAACACAACAGAUAUUCCAUAUGCACAGUCACAUGCUAUGUAUGUGUAUUUUCUUUCCAGAAAGGACUAGAGGUCCUAAGCUUUGUUAAUAUCAUGAGCCAGUGCCCACAUGAGCAGGAGAAUUUUAGCACAGUCACCUACACACUCAUUUCGAUGCUCUGACCCCUUAUCCAAGCCAGUCAAAGUGUGGUCUAUGGUUUUGCAUUUUAAAGAGAUCCCUGGGUGAAUCUUGUGCAUGUUACAGGGAAGCACUGUCCUACAUCCUAUGUGACAGGCUCUCAUAGUCACCAUCAUCAUGGGAAUCUUGCACAUGUUACAGGGAAGCACUGUCCUACAUCAUAUGUGACAGGCUCUCAUAGUCACCAUCAUCACGGGAAUCUUGCACAUGUUACAGGGAAGCACUGUCCUACAUCGUAUGUGACAGGCUCUCAUAAUCACCAUCAUCAUGUGAUCUUGUGCAUGUUACAGGGAAGCACUGUUCUACAUCGUAUCUGACAGGCUCUCAUAGUCACCAUCAUCACAGGAAUCUUGUGCAUGUUACAGGGAAGGACUGUCCUACAUCGUAGGUGACAGGCUCUCAUAAUCACCAUCAUCACGGGAAUCUUGUGCAUGUUGCAGGGAAGCACUGUCCUACAUCGUAUGCGACAGGGUCUCAGAGUCACCAUCAUCGUGGGAAUCUUGUGCAUGUUACAGGGAAGCACUGUCCUACAUCAUAUGUGACAGGCUCUCAUAGUCACCAUCAUCACGGGAAGCUGCAUUUAGAGCAUUUAACUGUAUGGGCUCUGAAAUCAGAUGACUUAGGUUUGGGCUUGCCUCUACUUCUUACUAAGCAGAGAACUUUGGGGCAUGAUACUUAAUUUUACUAGGCUCAGUUUUAUCAUGUGUAAAUUGGAGGCAAGGGGAAAUUAUAGCAUUUUGCAUAGAAUAUUGUUUUAAGUAUGAA